Molecule: ribosomal RNA, 496 nt
Filed under: uncultured bacterium
Lineage: Bacteria
Description: partial 16S ribosomal RNA
Rfam family: Bacterial small subunit ribosomal RNA
Source: RNAcentral
AGGAAAGAUGGCGGCGUGCCUAAUACAUGCAAGUCGAGCGAACAGACGAGGAGCUUGCUCCUCUGACGUUAGCGGCGGACGGGUGAGUAACACGUGGAUAACCUACCUAUAAGACUGGGAUAACUUCGGGAAACCGGAGCUAAUACCGGAUAAUAUAUUGAACCGCAUGGUUCAAUAGUGAAAGACGGUUUUGCUGUCACUUAUAGAUGGAUCCGCGCCGCAUUAGCUAGUUGGUAAGGUAACGGCUUACCAAGGCAACGAUGCGUAGCCGACCUGAGAGGGUGAUCGGCCACACUGGAACUGAGACACGGUCCAGACUCCUACGGGAGGCAGCAGUAGGGAAUCUUCCGCAAUGGGCGAAAGCCUGACGGAGCAACGCCGCGUGAGUGAUGAAGGUCUUCGGAUCGUAAAACUCUGUUAUUAGGGAAGAACAAAUGUGUAAGUAACUAUGCACGUCUUGACGGUACCUAAUCAGAAAGCCACGGCUAACUACGUG